This 897-nucleotide long non-coding RNA is filed under the name Marmota monax (woodchuck). The record is from RNAcentral. Lineage: Eukaryota; Metazoa; Chordata; Mammalia; Rodentia; Sciuridae.
UGAUCAAUGAGAUGUCUGUCAGUCUUUAGGUCUUAUUGACAUCUCCCAUGUUUUUAAAAUUAAUACAGCUACCUAGAAGAGUGGUAUGAGUUAGGCAUUCCUUUCUAAUCCUAGGUUCAACCAAGUGUUAAAAAAUUUUUUGAUAACAGCUUUAUCUAGAUGUAAUUUACAUACCAUACAAUACACUCAUUUAAAAUGUGCAGUUGUUUUUACUAAAUUCACAAAAUUAUAUACCUAUCAGUGCCAUCAGUUUUAGAAAUUUUUCAUCACUCCAAGGAGAAACUCUAUACCCUUUAGCUAUCAUUCCCACUAACCUUCUGUGACCCCUUCAUACCUAAACAACCACUAAUCUACUUUUGACUUGAUAGAUUUUCUUAUUCUGAACAUUUCAUAUAAAUGGAAUGCUAUGGCCAGGUGCAGGGGAUGAACAUCUAUAAUCCCAGUGACUCAGGUGUCUGAGGCAGGAAGAGUGCAAGUUUGAGACCAGCCUGAGCAAGACCCUAUCUCAAAAUAAAUAAAUAAAAAAGGCUGGGAAUGUAGCCCAGUGGUAAAGUGCCUCUGGGUUCAAUCCUUGGUACAAAAAAAAAACAAAAACAAACCAAAAAACCAAAAAAUAAGUGCUAUAAUCUGCGGUCUUUUGUGAUUGGCUUCUUUCACAGCAUGAUGUUUUCAAGGUUCACCCUUGUAGCAUGGACUUCAUUCUUUUUAUUACAGAAUAAUAUUCCAUUGAGUAUAUUGCAUUUUAGUCCAUCAGUUGAUAGACAUGUGGGUUGUUUCCACUUUUUGGACAUUUUGAACAUUUGGUACUCUGUGUGUGUGUGUGUGUGGGGGGGGUGCUGGGGAUUGAACUCAAAGCUAGGCAAGUUCUACUGAGUUCCAUCUCCAGCCACCAUGUAC